Molecule: long non-coding RNA, 3973 nt
Organism: Astyanax mexicanus (Mexican tetra)
Lineage: Eukaryota; Metazoa; Chordata; Actinopteri; Characiformes; Acestrorhamphidae
Exons: 8
Source: RefSeq, a predicted model, not a curated record
CAAAGUAAUGUAACGACAAAUAUUAUUGUGCACGAAAUUAUAUAGCACACCCCUUGUUCUAAUAUGAAUUUAUGAUAUGCAUUUUAUUUUACUUUUUGUACAUGUUUAGACACUGUCCCAACUUAAUUCUUCUUUUUUUUUGUUUUUUUUUAGGUGAAGUGUUGUCGCCGCUGCCAACUAAAUGACCCCAUGAAGACGGGGACACCAGUGUUACAUUCUAUUAAGGUGAAGGCUGCAUGGGAGGUGAUUGGCCUGGAUUUAAUUGGCCCACUGCGAGAAACUGGUCAAAAAAACAAGUAUGUGUUGACCAUGACUGAUUUAUAUACAAAGUGGGUUGUUGCUGAGCCACUGCAAAAUAAGACUGCAACUGAAGUGUCAGCAGCCACCAUAAAGACACUCUACUUGUUCGGCAUGGUCAAGAAAAUUAUUACUGACCAAGGGAGAGAGUUCGUUAAUGAGCUGAAUGAAAACAUCUUUGCAACUCUGAAAAUCAAACAUGCUGUCUCAAGUGCCUACCACCCUCAGACAAAUGGGCAGGUAAUUUUCAACAUAAUUUUAUUUGACAUUUCCCUGUAAUGUUAAAAAAAAUUAGGAAAUGUUUUAAUUGUUGUUGUUUUUUAUAUAUAUAUAGGAUGAGCGAACAAAUCAAAAUGUCAAACGUGUAUUGCGGAAGUAUGUAAAUGAAAGCCAUAAUGAUUGGGACAUCCAUUUACCUGCAGUUGUGUAUGGUAUUAACACUGCUAAGCAAGUGGGUAUUCAUUAUACAUUCAUUAUGGUCGAUAUAUAAUGUAAUCGAUAUAUAAUGUUUUAUUUCUGAUAACUUAAUUUGUUUUUAACCAGUCUUCAACCAGGCACACCCCGUAUUUCUUAUUCUUCCAUCGGCACCCUCAUUUGCCAGAGGUUAUGAACGCCUGUCCCAUGGGAGAAGACUUUAAAAUUGCUGACCCAGAAGAUGAUCUUGACACCCGAGUAAAUGAAAUGAAAAUUUUAAAUGAGAAGGUUAGGUCCAAAUUCAUGUAGUCUGACCACAGAAGUUUUUUUUAAUUCAAUGGCAUGUAGUAAAGUGUAAUUUUUUUUUUUUCAGGUGCUUAGCAACAUUGAAAAUGCGCAGAAAAGACAACAAAAGUCUUACAGGAACCGUAAGAGAAAGCUAAUGAGCACAAUCAGUCCUGGCGAUGAGGUCUUGAUUUCUCAAGAUUUCAAUAUAAAACAGAGAAAAGACACCCUUGCUGACCGCCACAAAGGUCCUUUCACUGUGGAUAGUAUCUCUAAAAAGGGUGUGGCAUCAGUGGUGAAAGAUAAUGGGACUCGAUGUUGCAUCAAUGUCUCACGGCUAAGGCCUUUCUACAGGUUGGAAAAUCAUGGAGCAGUUCCAUGUGUGUCACUUCAGGACCAUGAGUAUGGUACACCUGAUGAAGCAACAGACCAUCCUUAUGCUUUUUCUGGAGAGAAAUGGGAAAAAGACUUGGGUCCUCUCCAGGAAAAACUGUUGAAAUAUGUCCUGGACAAAAGCCUUCCAGCAGCAGAAUUGAUUGUUAAAGAUGACAAUAUCUGUCUUACACGUGAGGACUUGUGGAGUCUUGGGUUAAAUUAGUGCAUGGAGUCUACUAUUGGGAAUGCAUGUUUUAAGAUCAUCAGAGAAGCUGCUCAAAAACAUGGGAAAGAUGUUUACAUUGCUGACAUGUAUGUGGUUCCCACAUGGAAAACGAUGAAUGUGGACCCACUCUCAAGUUUACCGGUAAAGUGAAGUUAAACACACACACAGACAGACAGUUGCACAUUAAUGCAAUGAUUUCUGUACAAUGCACAGUAGUUGAAUGGUUGCAUUUUCUUUCUCUACACCAGAACAAUCUGUGUUCCAAGGAUGCGAUUUUGUUCCCUGCAUGGAGUAUGCAACAGAAUCAACUGGAUCACUAUUUGCUAUGUGUUGAGUUACAGUUUCAAAAAAUAGAUAUUCAGAUUUUUAGAAUGAAGUUUGUUGAUUAGCUUAUCAUUUUGAAAUAUGUCCAUUGCAGGUUUUACUGGUUGUGGAGAGAGAGAUCAUUUUUCUAGAUUCUGUACUCCCUGGUGGUUUUGGAGAUGACUCGUACAAAACGAUAUUUAGUUUAAGAGAGAGGAAAAAGUUGCCCUUGUUCAGUGGCUUUUACCAAUAAUAUUUUACGCAAGAGCCAUGUUCUGUGGCUGCUGAUUUACACAAAAGCCUUGUUCUAUGGCUGAUGAUUUACAAAAAGCCUUGUUCUAUGGCUGAUGAUUUACAAAAAGCCUUGUUCUAUGGCUGAAAAUUAACAAAAAGCCUUGUUCUAUGGCUAAUGAUUUACAAAAAGCCUUGUUCUAUGGCUGAUGAUUUACAAAAAGCCUUGUUCUAUGGCUGCUUAUUUAUAGCUUUGUUCUUUUGUUUUAUGUUUACGCAGAAGCCUUGUUCGAUGGCUGUAGGAUUAGGUCUCAUUUUAUGAAACUAGACCAUGGAGAACAAUUGUAUGACUAUAGGUUUCAGUAAGUGUGUGUCCAUAAUUAAUUUUUUUUUCCAUUUUAUGUGCAGACAUAUUGCAGGCCAGAUUGACCCAAGACCCUGGACAGAGAAGACCGGCAGAAGUUUUGAUGUAAAGCCUUUUCUUUAUUUUCUUACUGGGUUAUAUAAAACUCUGGACAUCAGUUGGCUUAAAUGUAAUGUAAGACUAUAGAUAUUUUCUUUUGAAGAGAAUUUUCUACUGUGAUUUUGGGAAACUGAGCCAUGACUAGCCCACCAGUUGAUACUUUUUGCUAUAUUCAUUCGUCUUCUUUCCACCAUACAUUCUUUCUUGUCCAGACCGAGAUUUUUUUUUUUGUAUCUGCACCAAUACCCCAUUUAUCUUCACAGAGGUCAGUUGCAUCUAUUAAUAUAGAAAAAAUAUUUCAAACCCCACCCCAAUCGUCUGAUCAUUGUUAUAUAUGUUUUAGAAUGAUGUGCCAUUAAUCCGCCAGUGGUGGUGCAUCCUACUGAUGGAAAGAUUUCAGAUUGAAGGACAUGGCCAGAGGUUUGCUUUCUGGACUGACAAGGCUAGCAGGCUAUUGCAAGGGACCCUUCAGCCACUUUUUAGGGUAUCUAGGUCAAUCACUUCAGACAUUCCACCUCAUGUGCAAACCAUGGUCAACCGCACAGCCCAAGAAAAGAAGCUGGUAGACUUUGCUGUACAAGACCAUGGAGUCCGGCAACAUUUGUUGGUAUGUUUGUCACACAUUAACAAUGUUUGUUAUUUACAAUUUGCACAUUGUUUUACCAUUACAGUGUUAUAAGCAAAUAAGCAAAAGGCCUUAUAAUUCAUGCUUGUUGUCACCAUGUGUUGGGGGACUUUUUUUUUUUUUUUUUUUUUUUUUUUUUUUUAAUGUGGAUUUACAGUCCAAAACUUUUAACAUAAACUACUUUUGACAUUCAACUAGAAAUGUUAAAUGUUUGCUCAUGUUUUGAUGAAGUGCUUUUGGCACUUUGCCUUUUGACCUAAGGGUGUACUCUGUGGAAAAGAGCCUUCGAAGUGGCUCAGCAGAAUCCAGAAGGGAUCAUCUCUACGGGUGCCAGUGUACCUGGACUCGGAGGAAGAACAGGACUCCCUAUUUUUCUAUCUUCAGGAUGUCCUGAAAUCUGCACCAGUAGAAUUCCACAUUGAGGAUCAAGUGCAGUUCAUUUUGGAUGUUUUGUUCCCAGAGGUAAGGUUACUAGGUAUGCAGUAAAUAUCUAUUAACAAUGUUAAAUAGCCUGUUGUGACUUAAGUUACAUAAAAAUUUUAAUCAAAUGUAUCUUUUUUUAAAAUCCAAUAGAGUAGUACUGUGAGACCAUGAUAACCACAAUACAUUUUCUCAGACAGUUAUUGGGUCAUUUUCAGCAGUGACACUAACGCUAAUGCUGGAGUUUUUAAACACCUCAGUUUCACUUGCUUGACCUGAAUAGUCCACCGGCGGUGGACAUCCAGUGAGCAUUGAUGAAGGACUAGAGUAUUGA